GCCCCGUUCGUCUAGCGGUCCAGGACGCGACAUUCUCAAUGUCGAGAUCAUGGGUUCGAUUCCCAUACGGGGUA
RNAcentral lists this transfer RNA (74 nucleotides) under Candidatus Levybacteria bacterium RIFCSPHIGHO2_01_FULL_37_17. RNAcentral's name for it is "tRNA-Glu". It matches the Rfam family "tRNA". Rfam says of the family: Transfer RNA (tRNA) molecules are approximately 80 nucleotides in length. Their secondary structure includes four short double-helical elements and three loops (D, anti-codon, and T loops). Lineage: Bacteria; Candidatus Levyibacteriota. RNAcentral also lists the same sequence under 1 other name. The record is from RNAcentral.